This 291-nucleotide long non-coding RNA is filed under the name Setaria italica (foxtail millet). RNAcentral describes it as "long non-coding RNA (SITA_LNC000881)". The record is from RNAcentral. Lineage: Eukaryota; Viridiplantae; Streptophyta; Magnoliopsida; Poales; Poaceae.
GGAGGAGAGCUUGUGGACGCGGGAUGGGAGGACGUGGAAGAGGAGGAGGGACUGGAGGGCGCGCAGGUUGCGGGGCUCGAGGAGGAAGCGGUGGAACUCCGGGUCGAGGUCCCGCUCGAGGGCCUCGUUGCGGGGCGCGAAGAUGGUGACGUUGCCCCGGCCGACGGCGUCCUCGAGCGCCUGCAGGAGCAGGGCCUUCUCCACCAGCUCCGCCAGCUCCGUGUAGCGCGAGUCCAGCAGCGCCACCAGCACCGAGUUGGAGCUCACCCCCGUGCUGCCGCUGCUGCUGCC